Molecule: ribosomal RNA, 67 nt
Filed under: Utricularia gibba
Lineage: Eukaryota; Viridiplantae; Streptophyta; Magnoliopsida; Lamiales; Lentibulariaceae
Source: RNAcentral
CCACUUGGGCAAUAUUUCACGCGCGAAGUCUCAAAACCAUCAAUCCUCAUUCAAUGAACAUUCAAUC